RNAcentral lists this ribosomal RNA (322 nucleotides) under uncultured eukaryote. Its description in RNAcentral is "partial 18S ribosomal RNA". It matches the Rfam family "Eukaryotic small subunit ribosomal RNA", at positions 1470 to 1796 of the family's 1831-position model. The record is from RNAcentral.
CCCUUAGAUGUUCUGGGCCGCACGCGUGCUACACUGAGUGGAUCAGCGGGUCAGGUUGCGCGAAAGUGUUUCCUAAUCUUGAAAUCCGCUCGUGAUGGGGAUUGACGGUUGCAAUUUUCCGUCAUGAACGAGGAAUACCUUGUAAGCGCGGGUCAUCAUCCCGCGCUGAAUACGUCCCUGCUCUUUGUACACACCGCCCGUCGCUCCUACCGAUUGAGUGGUCCGGUGAGGCUUUGGGAUCUGAGCAAAGAGAGCGUUUCGCUCGUUUUGCCCGGAAAACUCAGUCGAACCUUAUCAUUUAGAGGAAGGAGAAGUCGUAACA